Molecule: ribosomal RNA, 782 nt
Filed under: uncultured bacterium
Lineage: Bacteria
Description: bacterial SSU rRNA
Rfam family: Bacterial small subunit ribosomal RNA
Source: RNAcentral
AGAGUUUGAUCAUGGCUCAGAAUCAACGCUGGCGGCGUGCCUAACACAUGCAAGUCGAGCGAGAAAAGGGGGGCAACUCCCUGAGUAAAGCGGCGCACGGGUGAGUAACACGUGGGUAAUCUGCCCUGGAGUGGGGAAUAACACCGGGAAACCGGUGCUAAUACCGCAUACGAUCACGAUGUCUGCGGACGUUGUGAUGAGAGGAGCAAUUCGCUCCAGGAGGAGCCCGCGGCUGAUUAGCUAGUUGGUGAGGUAAUGGCUCACCAAGGCUACGAUCAGUAUCCGGUCUGAGAGGACGGUCGGACACACUGGAACUGAGACACGGUCCAGACUCCUACGGGAGGCAGCAGUGGGGAAUUUUUGGCAAUGGGGGCAACCCUGACCAAGCAACGCCGCGUGGGUGAUGAAGUAUCUCGGUACGUAAAACCCUUUCGACGGGGAAGAAACCGCAAGGUUGACGGUACCCGUAGAAGAAGCCCCGGCUAACUCCGUGCCAGCAGCCGCGGUAAUACGGGGGGGGCAAGCGUUGCUCGGAAUUACUGGGCGUAAAGGGUGCGUAGGCGGUUCGCUAAGUUGGAUGUGAAAACUCUGGGCUUAACCCAGAGCCUGCAUUCAAAACUGACGGGCUAGAGUUCUGGAGGGGGUAGCGGAAUUCCUGGUGUAGCGGUGAAAUGCGUAGAUAUCAGGAGGAACACCGGUGGCGAAGGCGGCUACCUGGACAGAAACUGACGCUGAGGCACGAAAGCUAGGGGAGCAAACAGGAUUAGAUACCCUAGUAGUCC